Molecule: transfer RNA, 72 nt
Filed under: Camelus bactrianus (Bactrian camel)
Lineage: Eukaryota; Metazoa; Chordata; Mammalia; Artiodactyla; Camelidae
Also listed under: 2 other names
Rfam family: tRNA
About the family: Transfer RNA (tRNA) molecules are approximately 80 nucleotides in length. Their secondary structure includes four short double-helical elements and three loops (D, anti-codon, and T loops). Further hydrogen bonds mediate the characteristic L-shaped molecular structure. tRNAs have two regions of fundamental functional importance: the anti-codon, which is responsible for specific mRNA codon recognition, and the 3' end, to which the tRNAs corresponding amino acid is attached (by aminoacyl-tRNA synthetases). tRNAs cope with the degeneracy of the genetic code in two manners: having more than one tRNA (with a specific anti-codon) for a particular amino acid; and 'wobble' base-pairing, i.e. permitting non-standard base-pairing at the 3rd anti-codon position.
Source: Rfam by way of RNAcentral
GUGGGUAUAGCUCAGUGGUAGAACGUAGCCUUAGCAUGCACAAGGUCCUGGGUUCAAUUCCCUGUACCUCCA